GACGUCAUCGGCGACGGCGAAUCGGGUUCUGAGGCCGCGGCGGCUUUGCGAUCGACGACAGUGACUGCAACUCGAGACUCGGCCUGUAUUGAUCUUAUCUCUUGAUCGAGUUGAGUUUCCGGUAUGGCGACUGGUUCACUUCCGGCGUCGCUCCGCUCAUGGCGUCGCUACUCGUGGAGUUGUGGCUCCGCAUUUCGAGCGUGACGAUUCCGACGGACAUGGCUGGCUCCGAUCAC
Molecule: long non-coding RNA, 236 nt
Filed under: Rosa chinensis
Lineage: Eukaryota; Viridiplantae; Streptophyta; Magnoliopsida; Rosales; Rosaceae
Description: sRNA RchiOBHm_Chr2g0136271
Source: RNAcentral